GCUUUUAUAUUUUUUGCAAUUUCUUUCUGUUUAGUUUCCUAGUCGAAAUCUUCUCAAUGCGUCAUCUUUGAUUCACUCUGCUUGUUUUUAUCCAUGGCAUCUCGGGAGUACGAAAAGAUGCGAUGCGAAAUCGAUUUCAAAACGGCACUACAUGGUGCCGAUCUAUCUAGCGGUUUUGCCAUUUCUCGAUUGUUCAUUUGUUUCUUGCUUCCCAAACCCUCGUCAAACGCAUCGAUUGAUGUAUCCGAUCCCGAUUUCUUGUUUCUGAUCUUUUUUUUAUUUUAAAUGUGGUUUUGUGAAAUUGAUCUGCUCGAUGAUGAUUGUUUUUGCUUUAACCACACCGAAGCGAGCUGAGGUUGUGUCUUGAUCCUAAUUCAUUUAAGCUUUUUAGGAGAUAUUCUUCUUGUGAUUGUUUUUCGCCUGACGACUCUUAUUUUGAAGUAAUUUUUUUUCUGGGCUUAAACGUUUUAGGAUUCACCAGCUUCGAGCUUUCGCAUGUGGAGAACUUUGGCCUUUUUCUGAGAGCAAUUACAUUUAACGAUUUUAGUCUGUUUACUGAUCAAUUGAACUAAUGUUUUUGUCUGUUGGGAAUUAGUGAUCCUAAUUGGAACUACAUAAGUUACAAUAAUUACAUGAUCCAAAGAAAAGAACCGAAGACGGUUUUUUCCUUGACAUUCACUUUAUUUUGACGAGGAGAUUCUCUUUUUGCUGAUGAUUCUAUGUUCACGAGUAUGGGGUCUACGUAGUAUACGUUCUUGAACUUUUUAAUUGUGAUUCUAUGUAGUAAACAUCCAUAGAAGAACAUAAUAGGACACCUGUGUAACACAGAUUUGAUGACUUGCACAGUUAAUAUUAUGGUUGUACCCAUUGAAAUUUCUACUCGUGAACUUUUGAUUUUGGAUCAAGGAAUGAAUAAACUGUGUAAAAUUUCAAAACGACUUGCUUUUAUUCCCAAAUGACUGACUUGUGUGGAAAAAUUAAGUUCACAAUGAAUCCACUGAACAGGAAUCUGUUCUGAAAUUAGUUCCCAAAUAGUAUCUCUUUGUUGCCCAAUAUUUGUACCAGAGAUUAGAGUCCAGGAAAACAGAGUAGCUACCAAAUGGUUGCAAACUGAUUUGCACCAUACCAAAUUCUGUUACUGUGUUUGUGAAGUCGAAACUAUGUUACAGGCUAGAGGGCCAGAGAGGACAACGUUGAGAUGCUACGGAGAGCAUGAGGCUAUUGCAAAAGACAGGCGUUGAGACGCCGUAUGUGGCAUUUCCACGCUACCAAUUGGACACCCCAGCUGCCAACACCCGCUCAACACUACUUUACACUGUUGUGAUGCUAUAAUGAUUUUGAAAAAUACAUUUGUUGGCAGCUACUCUUUGCUGGGGUAGAGAGUUUUAUUCUCUGUGUAAGGCUAGUUCACUACUGUUGUGGUUUCUUGAAGUGGUUUUGUAGUGUAAGGUGAGAGCCAUUUGUAAUUUCCACAUAUAGUAGAACAUGCAGUGUCCUGAGUUGGGGUUGUGCUCAACCUUGCAAUGUCUACACUACCACUGCAUCUUGAACUAUACACUGAGUGCAAGGAUGGACCUAUUGAAGUAUCUCUUUGAAAAGCCCGCUCGUAGUAGUAAACUAUUCUUGUGAAGUUGAUGUCAUGAAUUAAAUUUAUGUCAUGAAUUAAAUUUAUGGAAUGAUAUAUCGAAAGAUUUGGAUAA
Cucurbita moschata (crookneck pumpkin) is the source of this 1700-nucleotide long non-coding RNA. RefSeq lists it as uncharacterized. NCBI's taxonomy places the organism in Eukaryota, Viridiplantae, Streptophyta, Magnoliopsida, Cucurbitales, Cucurbitaceae. The transcript is spliced from 2 exons. The record is from RefSeq and is a predicted model, not a curated record.